GCCAUGGUGGCCCAGUGGUUAGCUUGUCGGACUCAGGAUCGAGAGGGUACAGGUUCGAAUCCUGCCAUUGGACU
Non-coding RNA from Potamilus streckersoni, 74 nucleotides. The record is from the annotation of a GenBank genome assembly. Lineage: Eukaryota; Metazoa; Mollusca; Bivalvia; Unionida; Unionidae.